RNAcentral lists this transfer RNA (71 nucleotides) under Loxodonta africana (African savanna elephant). It matches the Rfam family "tRNA". Rfam says of the family: Transfer RNA (tRNA) molecules are approximately 80 nucleotides in length. Lineage: Eukaryota; Metazoa; Chordata; Mammalia; Proboscidea; Elephantidae. The record is from Rfam by way of RNAcentral.
ACAUUGGUGGUUCAGUGGUAGAAUUCUCACCUUCCAUGGAAGAGACCUGGGUUUGAUUCCUGGCCAAUGCA